RNAcentral lists this ribosomal RNA (500 nucleotides) under uncultured Myrionecta. Its description in RNAcentral is "bacterial SSU rRNA". It matches the Rfam family "Eukaryotic small subunit ribosomal RNA", at positions 1213 to 1800 of the family's 1831-position model. Lineage: Eukaryota; Ciliophora; Litostomatea; Cyclotrichida; Mesodiniidae. The record is from RNAcentral.
ACUUACCAGGUCAAGACAUGGGCGUGAUUGACAGGCUAAUGACUUUUCUCGAUUCCAUGGAUGGUGGUGCAUGGUCGCACUUAGUUGGUGCAGUGAUUUGUCAGGUUUAUUCCGGUAACGAACGAGACCUCGGCCUUGUAGAUAGCUAUGCUGCUUACAGGGACAUUGGCGGCUACGCCAAGGAAGCUCGAGGCAAUUGCAGAUCUGGAAUGCCCUUAGAUGUCCUGGGUCGCACGCGUGCUACAAUGACGCCACGAACGAGCUUGCGUGAUGAAAGUUACGCAUAAUCAGCAGUCGGCGUCUUAAGGGAUAGUCUCUUGUAACUGUGGGACUCCAACUAGGAAUGUCUCGUAAGCACAAGUCAACAUCUUGUGUUGAUUACGUCCCUGCUCUUUGUACACACCGCCCGUCGCUCCUACCGAUCGAGUGUUUAGGUGAAUUUGAUGGACGUAAGGAAGUCAAAUAAACCUGAGCACUAGAGAAGAGAAGUCGAGCAAGCU